AUCUAAAUAGUUUAAAAAAAAUAUUAGUUUGUGGUACUAAAGUUAUAAAUUUAUAUUUUAGAUU
RNAcentral lists this transfer RNA (64 nucleotides) under Geinula sp. BMNH 846542. RNAcentral describes it as "tRNA-His". The record is from RNAcentral. Lineage: Eukaryota; Metazoa; Arthropoda; Insecta; Coleoptera; Chrysomelidae.